CCGGACAUGAAGGGUAAGAGUUGAGUUGAAGGGCGCCGGCGUCGGAGUUUUGGACCAUGGCUGACCAUUGCUUCUCCUCUUCAUACACGUCCAAGGACUUGAGGAUUAUGAGGAGGAGCUUGUGGGCUAGGGUUUUCAUCGCCUUCUGGUUGAAUGAUCAUUUUGGCCCUUCCCAACCUCUCACUUCUCUUGUUGCCGUCGCCACAUCCUUGUCAUUGAUGUUAACCCUUUGCCACCAACCCUCAUGCUCUCACCAUUGUCUAUGCAACCUUGUCGUCUCACCUGGUCACCGCUACAUCUUCUGGCAAUCGACCCGCCUCUCGUCGUCGCCUCGCCAUUGCAUCGGAGUUGUGAUCAGGCGAGGCAGCAGCGACAAGAAGAGGCAAUGAUGAGAGCAGGUGAGGCGAUGAGAGGCGAAGAACAAUAGUAAGAGGGUUGGCGAUAGAGGUCGAUUGCUAGAGCAAGGAAGGGAGAGAGAGAGAAGGGAAUAAACAAAAAUUGCGAUAUAUCGCCCUACACACUCGAUCACCUGUAAAACUCUUUUUGUACAAAUAACGGGCCUUUAUUUUAUUACAUGAGAUUAGUUACAUGAAUUCUAACUCCUCUUUCACUUA
This is a long non-coding RNA of Diospyros lotus (date-plum), 614 nucleotides long. RefSeq lists it as uncharacterized. The record is from RefSeq and is a predicted model, not a curated record. The transcript has 2 exons. NCBI's taxonomy places the organism in Eukaryota, Viridiplantae, Streptophyta, Magnoliopsida, Ericales, Ebenaceae.